AACAACACAGGAGUCCAUCCCCACGGCGUGAAUGGCAUAGAAGUCCAUCUCCACGGCGUGAACGAAGUAGAAGUCCAUCUCCGCGGCGUGAAUGGCGUAGGAGUCCAUCCCCACGGUAUGAACGGCGUAGAAGUCCAUCUCCACACCAUGAACGAUAUAGAAGCUUAUCCCCACGGCAUGCCCAGUCCCCACCUCCACGUGAGAGAUAUAGGGAGGAGGUGGGAGCAGUCCCACGUAGGAGCGGAAGAGUAAAGAGAGAGGUGGAAAAGAUUCUACGCGGGAGAGAUGGACAAGAAAUAAUGCGAGAAAGCGAAAUUACACAAUCACUGACCACAAGGGAGCUUCGAGAUUUACGGAGUGAUUAUAUGUGCUUGCCUGGUGAAGAAGUCCUCACCUGGCUGGUGCGAUGCUGGGACAAGGGAGCUGAUAGUCAUGUAAUUGAAGGUGAUGAAGCACGACAAUUGGGAUCCAUUGCUCGAGACCCUGUGAUAGAGCAAGAAAUGGGAAGGGAGAAAAUGGCUUCCAGUCUUUGGCUCCGAAUCCUCCAUGCGGUGAGAGUGAAAUACCCAUUUAAGGAGUCCCUGAAGAGUUCUUCAAGAAGGUGGAGGACUGCGGAAGAAGGCAUCCAAUACCUACGGGAAUUGGCCAUGCUGGAGAUCAUCUAUUCUGAUCCAGAUUAUUAUGAUAUCCAAGUCCCUGAGAAUGUUCCCUGCACGCAACCAAUGUGGAAAAAGGUAAUUCAAGGUGCCCCUAAACCAUAUAUUUCCUGCUUGAUACCCGUAUAUAAUCCAAAGAUGGAGGAACCAAGCAUGGACACCAUGUGUGCUUGGAUAAGAACCAUAGAGGAAAAUAUGGAAGACUCCUUCGAUCCCCUGUACCGACACACCUACGAUAGGGAAAGAACGGAGAGAGAUUAUGAAUAUUCCAGAUAUGAGGACGACCUUAGAGAUAGAGAGGACAGAAGGUAUAGAGAUUACAGAGAAAGGCCAAUGGGAAGAUUACGGCGGGAUCGACAAAGACGACCUCGGCCUAGACCUCGAUCCUGGUCUCGAUCUCGCUCACGAUCCCUGUCAUUCACACGUCGAAGGAAAGAGAACUCUAAGCAUCGGUCAUGUAACCAACUAUGGGCAUACCUUCAUAGUAAAGGAGAAAACAUGAAGAAGUGGGAUGGUGAACCCACUUCUAAGCUUGAAGCUAGAGUGAGGGAGCUGAAGCGGAAAAAGACUGACAAGAAAGUUGUCUAUGUAGUAGAUGGAGACUUCUUAGAAGAGACACUGCGAUCGCCGAAGCAUGAGAAGAUGGAGGUCCACUUCGACAGCGGCAAAAAGUCUAAGAAGUCAAAGUCAAACUCUGACGACGAAUGUUCUGAUCAAGACCAGUAGAGGGGCCCUAUCUUCUGCCAGGAGAAGGAAAGGGACCAAGAAGAUAACCGAGUUUACUGGGCUGUGUGGGUUCGAUGGCCUGGCACAUCGGAUCCUCAGAGAUAUCAGGCCUUGAUAGAUACUGGAGCCCAGUGUACUGU
Molecule: long non-coding RNA, 1522 nt
Filed under: Lepidothrix coronata (blue-crowned manakin)
Lineage: Eukaryota; Metazoa; Chordata; Aves; Passeriformes; Pipridae
Description: lncRNA (ENSLCOG00000015155.1)
Source: RNAcentral